UGUGCGUGUGUGUGAUAGGGGUUUAGGACGCCUGUCCAUAAAAGAUUUCAAAAGAUAUAUGAUCUUGUGACUGAAUUUGGAAAAUUAAUUUAUAAAGAAUCAGAACUUCUCAUAUACAACAAUGUAUUUAUAAAAAUACGUAUAUCAGUUAUUUGUUAUAUAUUAAUAUUAAAAGAAAAAAUAUCUAUAUAUAUAAAGAAGGAUCAAUCAAAAAGAAAUCCUGUGAGAUUUAUGUCCCGCCUCGGCACCGAAAAAUUGCUUGGCAACCACGACGGUAUUUGUUGGCAGGGACAGGAGGUCCAUGAGGAAUCUUACAUCCCGGGGGAAGAUUGAAAAGACGGCAUUUGUCAAUAAUUAUAUAUUUAUGGAUUUUCUUAGCAUCUGAUUGCUCCACAAUCACAGCAGCACAAAUCACCAACAUUAAUAUAACAAACGCCUUCAUUUUCUCUUCUUCAGGGAAGAUGAUUGAUCCUUCUUAUUUUUUCUUAAUUUGGUAGGAGGUCCAUGAGGAAUCUGACAUCCCGGGGGAAGAUGAAAAAGACGGCAUUUGUCAAUAAUUAAAUACUUUUGUUUAGCAUCUGAUUGCUCCACAAUCACAGCAGCACAAAUCACCAACACUAAUAUCACACAUGCCUUCAUUUUCUGUUCUUCAGGGAAAUAUGAUUGAUCCUUCUUUUUUUAUUAUGAGUUAUUCUUGGGUUCACCCCCGAGCGUGAAUCUCUAGGUUCACCAACCAAUAUAAUUUUAUUAUUUCAAAUUUGAUAUCUUUUAGAAAAAAAAAAUUGUCAAGAUAUAUUAUAUUUUUAAAAUAAAAUAGUUAAAAAAAUUAGAAAAAAUAGUAGUUAGAGAAAAAUAAAUUAAAAAAAUAAUAAUAUUUUUA
Brassica rapa (field mustard) is the source of this 880-nucleotide long non-coding RNA. RefSeq lists it as uncharacterized. NCBI's taxonomy places the organism in Eukaryota, Viridiplantae, Streptophyta, Magnoliopsida, Brassicales, Brassicaceae. The record is from RefSeq and is a predicted model, not a curated record.